AACUUUAAAGCAGGCACUGAUUUAAUGUAAAAUGUCAAAGAGAAGGUGAUUAUCCAAUGAUUUUGUCUUUCAAAAUAUUUAUUUCAGGUAGAAACUAGGAAGACAAUCACAUGUAAAAUAGUUCCAUAAAAAACUUUGACAAAUACACUCAUCUGGUCAUUAAAAAUAAAAACCUGAAAAUAAUAUUACAUUAAGCACUUCGAUUGAAAACAGUGUUUUGUUAUUUAAGUAAAAAGCCCAAAGCAGUCCCCAGUGAAGAGCUAGUAAGCUCUUCUGUUCAUACACACAGCCCUUAGACAAGAAUCAUAAACAUUUUUAUCCAGAAUGGUCUCCCAUCCCCAAAUUCUGAUCUUUUAUUUUUGUUACUCUUAUGGAAAUUAUUCAGUGUGUUAAUGUGCUUUUCAUAAACUUUUUUUUC
This 418-nucleotide long non-coding RNA is filed under the name Bos taurus (domestic cattle). Its description in RNAcentral is "long non-coding RNA NONBTAT001593". The record is from RNAcentral. Lineage: Eukaryota; Metazoa; Chordata; Mammalia; Artiodactyla; Bovidae.